GGAGUAGAUAUUAUAUUUUACAAAUCAAGUUGUGCAUUGCCUUUAGCUCUUCAUGCCUGUCUACCUUUAGUUGUCAUUGAACUUCUGGCCAAGCAUGUUUUCUUUGUUAUUGUCUUGCAUGAUGGCCUGGAUAAUCUGGAACUCAAAUCAGUGGCAGAUAUCAAAUCGAUAAAUAUAAGUGUGCUUGUGCCUGAACACUUUGUGGUGCAGGGACGUUAUGAUGUUUGUUGCCCUAUGAUGUCUGCUUGGGAUCUUCAUAAGGCUUGGCCUGAAUCAGAAUUCAAGGUGGUAGCAGAUGCAGGGCACUCGGCCAAUGAAGUUGGCAUCGCUGCCGAACUGAGGUCAGCCACCGAUAAACUGAGAGACUUGCUGCGCAAAUAAGCCGGCGAAAGGCAACCUGCACCUUUAUCUGAUGAUGGAACUCAGAGGCUCAGAAUACCAUUUAAAGUUAUGCUUGGACCUAUAUUGAUGUCUUUUUUGGCUACUAAGUUUUAUAAUAUCAUGUUUUAGGGCAUCAAACAAUUCUUUGUUGUUGUUGACAAAGAGGAGUGGAAGAUUGAUACGCUUUGUGAUCUUUAUGAUACACUCACCAUCACUCAAAUAUUAAUUAGGAUUUUGUAUUGUAUUAUCUCUGCCCACUAACAUGGUAUCUGAUUGCUAGCACAACAUGGUAUAUUUACUUGUGUAUCUUUUGUAGUAUUAAAGGUGUCUACAAUGCACACCCAACAGCUGAUGUAUUUAUCAACUUUGCAUCCUUCCGAAGGUUAGCCAUUAUUUCCAUUUUGCUUUUGUGAAAGAGCACAUUAUCUUGGAUAACUAGAAGAUAACUAUAUUGGAGGAUUAUCUAAAUAGGACUUGAUCGAAUCUGUUGUGUAGUUUUGUUUACAUAGACCUAUACAUUUUGUCAUACUCAUGAUUUAUUCU
Molecule: long non-coding RNA, 924 nt
Organism: Zea mays
Lineage: Eukaryota; Viridiplantae; Streptophyta; Magnoliopsida; Poales; Poaceae
Exons: 2
Source: RefSeq, a predicted model, not a curated record